GACGAGAGAUGAUGCAGAUAAUCAUAUCCUAAACACCGAAAAGUUAUGUGGACUACAACUCCGUUUAUUAUUUGAUGCCAUU
Small nucleolar RNA from Macadamia integrifolia, 82 nucleotides. RefSeq annotates it as small nucleolar RNA R16. The record is from RefSeq and is a predicted model, not a curated record. NCBI's taxonomy places the organism in Eukaryota, Viridiplantae, Streptophyta, Magnoliopsida, Proteales, Proteaceae. The transcript has a single exon.